UGCGGAGGGGGCUAGCGUUGUUCGGAAUUACUGGGCGUAAAGCGCACGUAGGCGGCUUUGCAAGUCAGAGGUGAAAGCCCGGGGCUCAACCCCGGAAUUGCCUUUGAGACUGCAUCGCUAGAAUUGUGGAGAGGUAAGUGGAAUUCCGAGUGUAGAGGUGAAAUUCGUAGAUAUUCGGAAGAACACCAGUGGCGAAGGCGACUUACUGGACACAUAUUGACGCUGAGGCGCGAAAGCGUGGGGAGCAAACAGG
RNAcentral lists this ribosomal RNA (253 nucleotides) under uncultured bacterium. Its description in RNAcentral is "partial 16S ribosomal RNA". It matches the Rfam family "Bacterial small subunit ribosomal RNA", at positions 524 to 776 of the family's 1533-position model. The record is from RNAcentral.